Molecule: ribosomal RNA, 460 nt
Filed under: uncultured bacterium
Lineage: Bacteria
Description: partial 16S ribosomal RNA
Rfam family: Bacterial small subunit ribosomal RNA
Source: RNAcentral
CCUACGGGAGGCAGCAGUGAGGAAUAUUGGUCAAUGGACGAGAGUCUGAACCAGCCAAGUAGCGUGAAGGAUGACUGCCCUAUGGGUUGUAAACUUCUUUUAUAUGGGAAUAAAAUGUUCCACGUGUGGGAUUUUGUAUGUACCAUAUGAAUAAGGAUCGGCUAACUCCGUGCCAGCAGCCGCGGUAAUACGGAGGAUCCGAGCGUUAUCCGGCUUUAUUGGGUUUAAAGGGAGCGUAGGUGGGUUGUUAAGUCAGUUGUGAAAGUUUGCGGCUCAACCGUAAAAUUGCAGUUGAAACUGGCAGUCUUGAGUACAGUAGAGGUGGGCGGAAGUCGUGGUGUAGCGGUGAAAUGCUUAGAUAUCACGAAGAACUCCGAUUGCGAAGGCAGUUCACUGGACUGCAACUGACACUGAGGCUCGAAAGUGUGGGUAUCAAACAGGAUUAGAUACCCUUGUAGUC